UAGCUCUUAGUGGGAACCAGUCUGGGUCCAGUUGCUAAUUGAAGUGUUUCAGUUCCUCUCGCCGUCUGCCGGAUCAGAAAUACAUUACCGGAGCUGCCGAGCUUGGUGUUUGCUUUCCUCUGUGGGAAAUAUCAGGAACCGAGAUUGAAAGAGGUCUACAGGAUUAGUUCACCGUGCCACUCUCUACAGGGUCCACACUUAACUGUCGAGUUGGGUGAAGGAACCUGAUCCCCAGAAGUAGCCUCUACCUGAUCUUGUGAAACUUUUUCUCGGGUUCAGGGCUUCACACUUACUCAACUCAGGCGACAUGCAUUGGGGCCCUGACUUCCAGCCAACCACACUCACGUUGCUACUGCUGCUCAGUGCUCAUGAGUAACAUGUUCAUCACAUAACUGGUUGGAGUAGUAGAAAAUGUAUGUACCUUAUCUGUACACUCUUAGAAAAAAAUGUGCUAAGUAGAACCAUAUAGGGUUUUUCUGUUUUGGGUGCUAGGUAGAACCCUCUAUGUAGGGUUCUUUAUUUAACCCUCUCUAUAUGGCUCUACCUAGAACCCUCUAUGAAGGGUUCUACCAAGAACCAUUUUAUAAUCUAAAGGUUCUUCCUUGAGCUCUCAAUUAACGGUUCCACCAGCCUUAAAAUGUAAUUCUUUAUGACAGUACAUUACAUACUGUAUAUCAUAAGGCCUUUCUUUGAGGGCCUCGUUAUACCCCAACACAAUGGUGUUAUGAAACUCCUGGUUUACAGUUUACAUCAGGCCUGCAAAUCACAUUAUGCUGGCUUGCAUAGGGAUGUGUAAUUCCUAUUGGAAUCCAGCCAGAGUUAGGAUAUAAUAUAGUAAAUAUAGCAAAUAUAAACGUUUGUCAUGUAAUCAUGCAACCUGCAUUCAGAAUCACUUGCUGGGUAGGGAAGAUUGAAUACUGAGAGUACCUCAAUCAUCUAAACUGUAACGGGUGCAAUAAGUCCAACUACUAACAGAUUGGAUUAGUUUAGAAAAAUGUAUGUUCUAUACAUUUGUGUAGCAUAAAAUGUAUCAACCAAUCAAUGCACAUGUAAAAACACAGCCAUUAAAACAAACAAUUCUGAAAAUCACCUUGCAGUAGAGCAUGCUGGGAAAUAUAAUAUAUGAUUCUAUGUAGAACUCUUAUUGCCUUCCAAAUAAUUACCAAAUAACACUUUCCUCUAAAAACGGUUCUAGGUAGAACUAUUUGCCUUACAAAGAACCCUUGUCUUCCAAAAAGGGAUCUUCAGAUCAAAACAGUUCUUGGUAGAACCCUAUCCCUCCGUGAAGAACCCAUUUGGCACCCUUUAUCUAUGAGUGUAGCUAGAUUUCCUAGAGGAUUCAAAACAUUCAAAAUGACAACCUCAACUUUUAUCGCUAUCAAAUAUUCAUGGGACCUGGGAUUCCAGUUCUUUCUUUCUUUUUGAGGGCAGGCUCAUUGCAAUAUCUUUUAUAACUUUUACUGUAAUUGAACCUGUUGAAUGUUAUCGUUAAACAUAUCUUCAUGAGGGCCGUGAGCAAUACCGAGUAACGCCUUAUGUUGUUAGAAAGCUCAGGUAGUUUUUAUGUAUUAUUUCACUAUGAUUUGUAUGCACUGUUUGCCCUACAAUGUACUGUUACAGUAAAUAGCAUAAAAAAUAGUACAUCACAGAUUUAAUUUUCAAAUUUCAUAUGCUAUGAACAACCUUUUAUGAAACAUGUUUUAGAUAAUCUACAUAUACUCAAAAUCAACUUUACAAUUGACAUGCUAUAAGAUUUUAACUGCCUUAUCACUGUAAUCAUUUUUAUACCUAGUGGUCAAGGGAAAAUCUGACUCAUUUCCCAAACAACAUUACUCAAAUUUCUCCAUGAUAUUGCAUAUUAUUUUGACAUUUGAUGUAUCUUUUAUUAAUGUCCACUGUUUGUUUAACAGCUGGUAUGUGUGAUGAAUAAAUACAAAA
Molecule: long non-coding RNA, 1938 nt
Organism: Oncorhynchus masou masou (cherry salmon)
Lineage: Eukaryota; Metazoa; Chordata; Actinopteri; Salmoniformes; Salmonidae
Exons: 3
Source: RefSeq, a predicted model, not a curated record